This 300-nucleotide unclassified non-coding RNA is filed under the name Hevea brasiliensis (rubber tree). The record is from RNAcentral. Lineage: Eukaryota; Viridiplantae; Streptophyta; Magnoliopsida; Malpighiales; Euphorbiaceae.
AAGCGACAGAUAGAGCUGUUGAGGGAAUGCCAGAACAUGGGUCUCGCAUUGCCUGGGCUGGCAUUGGCUCAACAGCUCUAUCUGUCGCUUAAAGCUCAUGGUGAGGGUGAUUUAGGAACCCAAGCUCUCAUUCUAGCCCUUGAGAGGAUUAACAAUUUGUCCCUUCAAUCUGAGGCUUCUGCUAUUGGCAAACCUUAGACUGAUUAUCUGUUUGAUCCUUGACCACUAUGUAUCCAUUUCUUAAUGUUAAAAUGUCCUGACAUUUGUAUUUUGUAUCGUUUAUCCUUCUAUGAAUGUUGA